GGCGAUCAGAUACCGCCCUAGUUCUGACCGUAAACGAUGCCAACUAGCGAUCCGCCGGUGGAUUUUUAGCCCUGGUGGGUAGCUUCCCGGAAACGAAAGUCUUCCGGUUCCGGGGGAAGUAUGGUUGCAAAGCUGAAACUUAAAGGAAUUGACGGAAGGGCACCACCAGGAGUGGAGCCUGCGGCUUAAUUUGACUCAACACGGGGAAACUCACCCGGCCCGGACACCGUAAGGAUUGACAGAUUGAUAGCUCUUUCAUGAUUCGGUGGUUGGUGGUGCAUGGCCGUUCUUAGUUCGUGGAUCGAUUUGUCUGGUUUAUUCCGAUAACGAGCGAGACUCUAGCCUACUAAAUAGUAACGAGAUUAUCAAUGUCUCAGUUGCUUCUUAGAGGGAUUUUCGGUGUUUAGCCGCACGAGAUUGAGCAAUAACAGGUCUGUGAUGCCCUUAGAUGUCCGGGGCUGCACGCGCGCUACACUGGCGAAAUCAGCGUGCUGUAUCCAUUCUCGAAAGGGAUUGGUAAACCCAUGAAAAUUUGCCGUGCUUGGGAUCGGAAAUUGCAAUUAUUUUCCGUGAACGAGGAAUUCCAAGUAAGUGCGAGUCAUCAACUCGCUCUGAUUACGUCCCUGCCCUUUGUA
Molecule: ribosomal RNA, 635 nt
Filed under: Acrobeloides minor
Lineage: Eukaryota; Metazoa; Nematoda; Chromadorea; Rhabditida; Cephalobidae
Also listed under: 1 other name
Description: SSU rRNA
Rfam family: Eukaryotic small subunit ribosomal RNA
Source: RNAcentral